RNAcentral lists this ribosomal RNA (598 nucleotides) under uncultured bacterium. RNAcentral's name for it is "bacterial SSU rRNA". It matches the Rfam family "Bacterial small subunit ribosomal RNA", at positions 57 to 703 of the family's 1533-position model. The record is from RNAcentral.
GCAGUCGACGAGACCUUCGGGUCUAGUGGCGCACGGGUGCGUAACGCGUGGGAAUCUGCCCUUGGGUCUGGAAUAACAGUUAGAAAUGACUGCUAAUACCGGAUGAUGACUUCGGUCCAAAGAUUUAUCGCCCAGGGAUGAGCCCGCGUAGGAUUAGCUAGUUGGUGAGGUAAAAGCUCACCAAGGCGACGAUCCUUAGCUGGUCUGAGAGGAUGAUCAGCCACACUGGGACUGAGACACGGCCCAGACUCCUACGGGAGGCAGCAGUGGGGAAUAUUGGACAAUGGGCGAAAGCCUGAUCCAGCAAUGCCGCGUGAGUGAUGAAGGCCUUAGGGUUGUAAAGCUCUUUUACCCGGGAUGAUGAUGACAGUACCGGGAGAAUAAGCCCCGGCUAACUCCGUGCCAGCAGCCGCGGUAAUACGGAGGGGGCUAGCGUUGUUCGGAAUUACUGGGCGUAAAGCGCACGUAGGCGGCUUUGUAAGUUAGAGGUGAAAGCCCGGGGCUCAACUCCGGAAUUGCCUUUAAGACUGCAUCGCUAGAAUUGUGGAGAGGUAAGUGGAAUUCCGAGUGUAGAGGUGAAAUUCGUAUAUAUUCGGAA